CUCCCCAGGCGGUCGACUUAACGCGUUAGCUCCGGAAGCCACUCCUCAAGGGAACAACCUCCAAGUCGACAUCGUUUACAGCGUGGACUACCAGGGUAUCUAAUCCUGUUUGCUCCCCACGCUUUCGCACCUGAGCGUCAGUCUUUGUCCAGGGGGCCGCCUUCGCCACCGGUAUUCCUCCAGAUCUCUACGCAUUUCACCGCUACACCUGGAAUUCUACCCCCCUCUACAAGACUCCAGCCUGCCAGUUUCGAAUGCAGUUCCCAGGUUGAGCCCGGGGAUUUCACAUCCGACUUGACAGACCGCCUGCGUGCGCUUUACGCCCAGUAAUUCCGAUUAACGCUUGCACCCCCCGUAUUACCGCGGCUGCUGGCACGGAGUUAGCCGGUGCUUCUUCUGCGGGUAACGUCAAUCGACAAGGUUAUUAACCUUAUCGCCUUCCUCCCCGCUGAAAGUACUUUACAACCCGAAGGCCUUCUUCAUACACGCGGCAUGGCUGCAUCAGGCUUGCGCCCAUUGUGCAAUAUUCCCCACUGCUGCCUCCCGUAGGAGUCUGGACCGUGUCUCAGUUCCAGUGUGGCUGGUCAUCCUCUCAG
Molecule: ribosomal RNA, 596 nt
Filed under: uncultured Klebsiella sp.
Lineage: Bacteria; Pseudomonadati; Pseudomonadota; Gammaproteobacteria; Enterobacterales; Enterobacteriaceae
Description: partial 16S ribosomal RNA
Source: RNAcentral